Long non-coding RNA from Cucumis sativus (cucumber), 498 nucleotides. RefSeq lists it as uncharacterized. Lineage: Eukaryota; Viridiplantae; Streptophyta; Magnoliopsida; Cucurbitales; Cucurbitaceae. The transcript is spliced from 2 exons. The record is from RefSeq and is a predicted model, not a curated record.
GAAUAUGUACAUAUGACUGUCUUACCUCCGAAAGUAGUCAAAAGAGUUGGUCGACCGAAGAAAAAGAGGAUUCCAAGUGUCGGUGAAGCACCAAAAUUGCAUAAAUGUGGUCGAUGUAAAGAAACAGGCCACAAUAGAUUAACGUGUACCAAUCCAAUUUCAUACAUCCAGAAGUCGAGCAUACAAGAUUAGUACCCGUCUUGGUGGAAGAUGCUUAUAAAAUUGUGUCCUGUGUUGUUUGCAAGAUCACUAAAGUCAUCUCACUGACAAUUCUAAGUUGAAGACUUUUCUUCUGCAACUUCAAGACUUUCCUUCUCUUUUUUUUUAUCCUACAGUGAACUGUUUAUAGAAUAUUUACUCCUUUGGCAUUUCAAGCUUUUUGAGAAAGACUUGAAAUCCUAUUAUGACAAUAUUGUGUGCUUUAGAACUCAAUAAAUGCUCUCCUUUUGCUACUGCAGUAUUAAUGAUGCAAAUCUUGCUGAUUACUUUUAGUUUUUA